UGAAUUGGUCAGAACUGUCAUCUUCAAGACUUACAUGCUUGCAGGGAAAGUUAAGGUCUAAUUAAGUUUUCACUUUCAGUCUGAAAGCUGUAGCUCUAAUUCUUCUGAUUCAUCUGAUGGAUGGAAGCUAAAGUCUACUUGUUUCUUUUCCUUGAGCAAUAAUACAGAAUAAUUAAUGAUGUUUGGGUAAGCAGAGCAUGUAAGGAUGAUACUUGCCUUUGUUUUUGGUCUGAGCUUUUGAGGU
This 244-nucleotide unclassified non-coding RNA is filed under the name Hevea brasiliensis (rubber tree). Lineage: Eukaryota; Viridiplantae; Streptophyta; Magnoliopsida; Malpighiales; Euphorbiaceae. The record is from RNAcentral.